CAAGCAGGCUCCACACUCAGCACAGAGACCGUUGCAGGACCCAGGCUCAAGCCCACAACCCUGGGACUGUGACCAAAGCUGAAAUCAAAAGUUGGACACUCAACUGACUGAGCCACCUAGGCGCCCCUUUUCUUUAUCUUCUGAGGUAUAUCUUACGUACAGUAUAGUACGUGGAUUGCAAAUAUAUAGUACAAUGGAAUUUUACAUUUGUAUCUGUAGCUGUGGUAGGCUGAAUUCUAAGAUGACUCCCACUGAUCCAUGCCUUUAUAUAAUUCUUUUUCUCUUGAGUGUGGGAAGGACCUGUAAAUGUGAUAGUAUAUCACUCCCAUGACUUUAAAAAAAGAGAUACUAUCCUGGGCAGACCUGACUUAAUUGGAUAAGCCCUCAAUAGGGACCAAGUUCUUCUUGAAGAAAUUCGAAGUGUGAGAAGGCUUCCAUGUGAGCGGGAUUCUUUGUUGCUGGCUCUAAAGAUGGAGGAGGCCAUGUGGCAAGAAAUGUAGACAGUUUCUAGGAGCUGAAGGGCAUUCCCCAGCUGACAGUGACCAAGGAAACAAGAAACUCAGUAUUAUAACCACAAGGAACUGAAUCUGGCCACUAAUUGAAUGGGGUUGGAAGCAGAUUUCUCUUGUCUACAGAAAGGAACACAGUCCUGCUGUCAACCUGAUUUCAACCUGUGAGACCCUUAGCAGGGAACCCAGCUAUGUCAUGCCCUGGACUCUUGGCAGAACUCUGUGAUAUUAAAUGUCUCUUGUUUUUAAGUUACUAAGUUUGUGGUGAUUUGCCAUGCACCAAUAGAAAACUAAUACAAUUACUGCCACCCCUACAAAGAUAUAGAAUGUUUAGAACAUAUAGAAUAUUUCUAGCAUUCCAGUGUUGCCCUUUAUGAUUAAAAACUAUUAAUACUACUACAGUAUUGAACUUUCACAACAGCCCUUCAAAAUAACUAAUAAUUUACCCAUUUUAUAGGUAAUUGAAGCAAGGUCCAGAGACUGAUACGUCGUCAUUUUGACAUCUGCUCUGUGUCUGAUGCUAGACUAGAUUCUGAGAAUACAGGAGAUGAGUAAGAUGAGAGUUUUAAGUGAUUUCUGGGGUCUCCUAUUGGAGAUGUGGAGUCAGCCAUAAACCAGGACCUCUGACUCGAGUCUAGCCCUUUUUCUGCUAUCCCUUAAUAUGCUUGGGAGGUGUGGGGGAGGAUGUCUUAACGUUUGGGUUUGUCUGCAGUAGUGGAGUUCAUCAACUCUCUAGUUUCUAAAUGCAUCCAAAUGGUGGAGUGAAUGAUAAAAUAGUGUUUUAUGUUGUUCGAUGAAAACCAUACUAAUGACUUUAUGGAUGGGACCUCACUAUAAGGUUGUUUAGAAAAUGGAAAGGUGCUAUCACAACAAAGUGGACAAAGCUACUUAAAAAAAAAAAAAAAAGGUUUAUUUAUUUAUUUU
Molecule: long non-coding RNA, 1433 nt
Organism: Leopardus geoffroyi (Geoffroy's cat)
Lineage: Eukaryota; Metazoa; Chordata; Mammalia; Carnivora; Felidae
Exons: 2
Source: RefSeq, a predicted model, not a curated record